Schizosaccharomyces pombe (fission yeast) is the source of this 868-nucleotide non-coding RNA. Lineage: Eukaryota; Fungi; Ascomycota; Schizosaccharomycetes; Schizosaccharomycetales; Schizosaccharomycetaceae. The record is from the annotation of a GenBank genome assembly.
UUUUCUUCUUUAAUGUCUUCAAUCUUCCAAUAGUUUAUAAAGAAAGCUUUUUGACAUUGUUUCUUUUUAAAGCGAGGGAAUACCUUUUAUGGCCCUGCCACCGUCUAUAACGUGAUUUGUUUGUUUCGCUAAACGCUCUUAGGAAAACGGAGCUAUCAGAGUGACAUAUAUGACUUAACGAAGCUGUGUGUGGCUCAUGAUCACUAUUUAGAAUUGAAUGAAAACAACCAAUGUCAAUCACAGUGUCGAAAUGCCCCUUGAAUUCAUUUAAUCUUGAAAAAUCGCGUUGAUUAAAGUUGACAUUACUUUUUUCACUAGAUGUUUUAUCGAUUGCUUUAGAAAUAGCCCUUUCGGAAAUAUCAAUACCCACGACUUUAUAUCCAAGACUGGCUAAAUAUCUAGCAUUUCUAUUUGGUUCACAACCGGCAUCUAAUACAUUCUCAUGUAAUUUCCCCAGUUGUACAAGAUUCAUGAUCUAUUCGUCUGGUUUCUCAUUAUCAAAUGGUGUUGCGGGAUCUUCAUACAUAUUUUCCCAACUAUUUUUUACUUCAGAGAUAUAUUUCUUCAUUGUUCUUAAUGAUAUAUAAAAAAUGGUGAAAUAUUUAUUUAUUGCCCCAUCAUGUUUAUUUUUAUAUCCUUCUUUCUCUGUCAGGAAAUCUAUUUCCGAGCUGACGAUAAAAAAACAUGUUGCAAGCCGCCGAAACUACCUCGGCUUUUAUUACUAUGUCCGAAAAGUGCGCGAAAUAUUGGAAUGGCUUGUAAAUUAUGCAUUUAAUCAAAUAAAGUGAUAGUAAGCGCAAAGUGUAUGACUCAAUGAAAAUCGGGUGUAUCAACUACUCAGUUGUUUACCAUACAAUGUAUUGUAAAU